RNAcentral lists this ribosomal RNA (245 nucleotides) under uncultured bacterium. RNAcentral describes it as "partial 16S ribosomal RNA". It matches the Rfam family "Bacterial small subunit ribosomal RNA", at positions 524 to 768 of the family's 1533-position model. The record is from RNAcentral.
UACGGAGGAUGCAAGCGUUAUCCGGAUUUAUUGGGUUUAAAGGGUGCGUAGGUGGAUUGAUAAGUCAGUGGUGAAAUACUAUGGCUCAACUAUGGAACUGCCAUUGAUACUGUCAGUCUUGAGUACAUUUGGAGUGGGCGGAAUAUGUCAUGUAGCGGUGAAAUGCUUAGAUAUGACAUAGAACACCGAUCGCGAAGGCAGCUCACUAAACUGUAACUGACACUGAGGCACGAAAGCGUGGGGAU